This 481-nucleotide ribosomal RNA is filed under the name uncultured bacterium. RNAcentral's name for it is "bacterial SSU rRNA". It matches the Rfam family "Bacterial small subunit ribosomal RNA", at positions 28 to 507 of the family's 1533-position model. The record is from RNAcentral.
GAUGAACGCUGGCGGCAUGCCUAAUACAUGCAAGUCGAACGAAAGGCUUCGGCCUUUAGUGGCGAACGGGUGAGUAACACGUAGAUAACCUGCCCUCAAGACUGGGAUAACCGAUGGAAACGUCCGCUAAUACCGGAUAGGUAAUCGAAAAGGCAUCUUUCGAUUNUUAAAGAUGGGACACAUCGCUUGAGGAUGGAUCUGCGCUGCAUUAGCUAGUUGUGGGGUAACGGCCCACCAAGGCGAUGAUGCAUAGCCGGCCUGAGAGGGUGAACGGCCACAUUGGGACUGAGACACGGCCCAAACUCCUACGGGAGGCAGCAGUAGGGAAUUUUCGGCAAUGGGGGAAACCCUGACCGAGCAAUGCCGCGUGAGUGAAGACGGCCUUCGGGUUGUAAAGCUCUGUUGUAAGGGAAGAACGGUACCGAUAGGGAAUGAUCGGUAAGUGACGGUACCUUACCAGAAAGCCACGGCUAACUACGUG